CGCCCGGCACGUGCGCGAGCGCGUCGCAGGCAUCACACGCGUACCCGCGACGCUACGACGAGCGCCGCGACGCGUGCGAUUAUUCGCCGAUGACAGGCGUGGGCGUAGGUGUGGGAGUGGGCGUGGGAUGCACGUCAACGUGUGAACGGCGCGGACACCCGCGACAUAACGUUCCUGACCAGAGCACGCCGCUGCUGUCAGGCGUGGGCCCGCUGCUCUCGCCGCAGUCGUCGCUGG
Ostrinia nubilalis (European corn borer) is the source of this 237-nucleotide long non-coding RNA. RefSeq lists it as uncharacterized. The record is from RefSeq and is a predicted model, not a curated record. Lineage: Eukaryota; Metazoa; Arthropoda; Insecta; Lepidoptera; Crambidae. The transcript has 3 exons.